This 459-nucleotide ribosomal RNA is filed under the name uncultured bacterium. RNAcentral describes it as "SSU rRNA". It matches the Rfam family "Bacterial small subunit ribosomal RNA", at positions 26 to 518 of the family's 1533-position model. The record is from RNAcentral.
AGAAUCAACGCUGGCGGCGUGCCUAACACAUGCAAGUCGAACGAGAAAGUGGAGCAAUCCAUGAGUAAAGUGGCGCACGGGUGAGUAACACGUGACUAACCUACCUUUUAGUGGGGGGAUAACCUAGGGAAACCUGGGCUAAUACCGCAUAAUACCUACGGGUCAAAGCAGCAAUGCGCUGAAAGAGGGGGUCGCGGCCGAUUAGCUAGUUGGCGGGGUAAUGGCCCACCAAGGCAGUGAUCGGUAUCCGGCCUGAGAGGGCGCACGGACACACUGGAACUGAAACACGGUCCAGACUCCUACGGGAGGCAGCAGUGGGAAUUUUGCGCAAUGGGGGAAACCCUGACGCAGCAACGCCGCGUGGAGGAUGAAGUCCCUUGGGACGUAAACUCCUUUCGAUCGGGACGAUAAUGACGGUACCGGAAGAAGAAGCCCCGGCUAACUCGCGCCAGCAGCCGC